Long non-coding RNA from Scylla paramamosain (green mud crab), 1503 nucleotides. RefSeq lists it as uncharacterized. NCBI's taxonomy places the organism in Eukaryota, Metazoa, Arthropoda, Malacostraca, Decapoda, Portunidae. The record is from RefSeq and is a predicted model, not a curated record. The transcript has 4 exons.
UGUUUACGGACGGUGAGUUGUAGCGUGGUGGUCAGUGAAUAGGCCAGGUGGACGUUAAUAUACCACUGUGCAACAUUAUUUCAUGAACAUCAAGUAACGGGCUUGCCAUAAAAAGAAGUCUUGGCGACAAAUACUGCAGGAGUUAGUGGAGGGACUGCAGAGAAGUGAGGAAAUCUGGGAGGGAAGAGAGGGAAGGAUUGCAACGCCAUUCCAGCGUUUCCUUUCCACUCAGGAAAGGAUUUUGUGCUGCUGGCGGCGAGAAUCUCCUGGAUCCCCAAAGCGACAGGCGUUGGGAGCAGCUGACUCUCGGGCUGUUGAGUCGAGGCGGGGAGUGCAGAAGUCAACGCCGGGGAACCAACUCUUCCCGUCCGCUUCCCUGCAUCGAGUUAUGGAGCGUGUGAGAAGCCACUAAUAUGUGUCAGGCAGCAGAAGACGCGACUCUGUUAGAACACCACUGAUGCCUGACGGAGACGCUGCAGAAGUGUGGAAAUUUGGGAAUGACUUGUCUUAUGACCUAUCAAGCAGCAAAAGACAUGAAUCCGUUAGAACACCAGUCGCACCUGACGGAGACGCUGCAGAAGUGUGGAGAUGCGGAAAUGACGUGUUAUGACCUCUUUCCAAUGCUUUAGCUGGCGUUGAGGGAUGUCAGCCGUGGAGUGCCGCAAGUAUAAGGCUCUGGUACCCUCGCAUCACCAAGGGCAACGAGGGGAAGGAUGGAAAGGAGGUUGGAUGCUCAGACCCCUUCACUGUACCUUUCACGUGGACCCAGCAGCUCAGCCUCAGUCCUGGAAGUGUGGCCAAGAAUAGCGUGGCCAGCCAUUGACUCACCAUGCAGCGUCUCUAUUGGCCCGCGUGACGCCACCACCAGCCACCAACACGUCACCAACACGUCACCAUCACGCACUCAGACAGGUAAUUACUAUACUCCCCGAAGCCGCCAUGUUGCUGACGUCACUUCCGGGCCAGCUGAAGGCCAUAAACGGCACGGAAACAAAAGACAGACGCUCGUAAAAGGUGGAACGUCUUGCACAUCGCGAUCAGAUCCCGUAAAAAGGAGUUCUCUGGAAUACUCUUUAAGAUUUUCCUCCUCCUUUUCUUGUUAUUUUUAUUUCCACGCAAAAAUCGAGAGUUUUAGGAAGUUGUAAUAGAUUAAGUUUCUUUGAUAUUUUAGUUGUUUCUGAGGAUAAUUUAAGAAUGUUUGAGUUUAUAAUAAGUUAAGGAAAAAUGGUUUGUAUCAUAUUUAGAAAAAAACAAGUGUAUGAUAUUUUUACAGGAAAGAAUUAUUUUUAUUUCCACGCAAAAAUCGGGAGUUUUAGGAAAUAAUAAUAGAUUAAGUUUCUUUGAUGUUUUUAGUUAUUUCUGAGGAUAAUUUGAGAAUGUUUGAGUUUAUAAUAAGUUAAGGAAAAGUGUUUAUCAUAUUAGAAAAAAAUGUACAUGAUAUUUUUACAGGAAAGAAUGAAAUAAUGAAUUGUGAAGUUUUCGUUUAGUAGUUACGUUGUUUAU